RNAcentral lists this non-coding RNA (23 nucleotides) under Sclerotinia sclerotiorum. The record is from RNAcentral. Lineage: Eukaryota; Fungi; Ascomycota; Leotiomycetes; Helotiales; Sclerotiniaceae.
UAAUUUUGUCUGUAGGAUUGGAA